GACGAACGCUGGCGGCGUGCUUAACACAUGCAAGUCGAACGAUGAAGCUGGAGCUUGCUCCGGUGGAUUAGUGGCGAACGGGUGAGUAACACGUGAGCAAUCUGCCCUUCACUCUUGGAUAACUGCGGGAAACUGUAGCUAAUACCGGAUACGAGACCUUGGGGCAUCCCAGGGUCUGGAAAGAAUUUCGGUGAAGGAUGAGCUCGCGGCCUAUCAGCUAGUUGGUGAGGUAAUGGCUCACCAAGGCGACGACGGGUAGCCGGCCUGAGAGGGUGACCGGCCACACUGGGACUGAGACACGGCCCAGACUCCUACGGGAGGCAGCAGUGGGGAAUAUUGCACAAUGGGCGAAAGCCUGAUGCAGCAACGCCGCGUGAGGGAUGAAGGCCUUCGGGUUGUAAACCUCUUUUAGUAGGGAAGAAGCGCAAGUGACGGUACCUACAGAAAAAGCACCGGCUAACUACGUGCCAGCAGCCGCAGUAA
This 483-nucleotide ribosomal RNA is filed under the name uncultured bacterium. RNAcentral describes it as "partial 16S ribosomal RNA". It matches the Rfam family "Bacterial small subunit ribosomal RNA", at positions 28 to 523 of the family's 1533-position model. The record is from RNAcentral.